Molecule: ribosomal RNA, 393 nt
Filed under: uncultured bacterium
Lineage: Bacteria
Description: bacterial SSU rRNA
Rfam family: Bacterial small subunit ribosomal RNA
Source: RNAcentral
AGCGAACGUUUGCGGCGGGCUUAACACAUGCAAGUCGAACGGGCUGUUCCUUCGGGGGCAGUCAGUGGCGCACGGGUGCGUAACACGUAGGUAAUCAACCCUCUGGUUGGGGAUAACACUUCGAAAGGAGUGCUAAUACCCGGUAUGGCGCAGCGGUCUUCGGAUCGCGGCGAGAAAGACCCGCAAGGGUUGCCAGAGGACGAGCCUGCGGCCCAUCAGCUAGUUGGCGAGGUAACGGCUCACCAAGGCGAAGACGGGUAGCUGGUCUGAGAGGAUGAUCAGCCACACUGGAACUGAGACACGGUCCAGACUCCUACGGGAGGCAGCAGUGGGGAAUAUUGGACAAUGGGGGGCAACCCCUGAUCCAGCCAUGCCGCGUGUGUGAAGAAGGCC